RNAcentral lists this transfer RNA (68 nucleotides) under Marmota monax (woodchuck). RNAcentral's name for it is "tRNA.Leu". It matches the Rfam family "tRNA", at positions 6 to 65 of the family's 71-position model. Rfam says of the family: Transfer RNA (tRNA) molecules are approximately 80 nucleotides in length. Lineage: Eukaryota; Metazoa; Chordata; Mammalia; Rodentia; Sciuridae. The record is from RNAcentral.
GGAUAUGGCUCAGUUGGUAGAGUGCUUGCCUCAAAUGCACAAGGUCCUGGGUAAAAUCCCCAGUACCA